UUACUAAGAUGAGUAAGAUGAGAUGCGUCGAAAAUAUUACAUAUAUAUGCAUCUUUAAAAGAGAUAAAAACACUCCAACAUAGAAAUUCUACAAAGAUUUCAAAGCAAGUUGCUACGUAAGAACGCUGUGAUUUAUUGGGACCUAAAAACCCCUUCAGUCACAAGGAGGCUCUGAGCUUUGUAGUCCGUCACCUCGACAGACUCUGCAGAUACCCUAACCGGCUAGCGGCUGACCUAACAAAUGAAAACUGUUGUCGCAGGCUAAAAAGACUACACCCUCUGGAUUUUCCAUUCAAGCCUGAUCCCAACUUGUAAGUUUGGACUUAUCUCCUCGGUUUUAGCAGAUGAAGAUUGAAGACCUCACUCACUAAACCCUCCUGAGGAUUUUUACUUUGACAGACUUUUUUUUUCUUAACGCUCCGUAUAUUAAACUUGUCACCGGAUCUGAUCAUUGUCCAAAUGGACAGAUUUUACUUACACUUACUUUACUUUACUUACUUACACUUACACACUCAACAAAAUUCUAUUAUAUAUGUUAAAUAAGAAGAGGAAAGUUAUUAAACAGCAGGCGAUGAAAAAGACCUUCUUCGAGAACUACGAAUAUUAUGAAAAUGAGGCUGUUUAUUCCGAUAAUUUCCUGUGAGAACAUCUAAAUUGCUAGUGAAAAGUCAGCAAGUCCUCAGUUCCCCUAAUUUUGGGUCUAUAUAUUUAUUGACUAUGGCCUUACGUUUCCUAAAUCGUUUCGGAUGUUGCAUCAUUCGCGUUCCUUGUGCUAUUAAUUUCCCCGCCUGCAAUCCAAUGUUUAAUAUGCAGGUGCGCAAUAUUAAAUACAUAUGGAAAAGAAAAUAGAGUUCCCAAAAGAAUAGGCCGAAAAGCGCGAUUGUGCCAAAUAAGGAUGGAACAAGGAUGGACGGUGUAGCCAAUCAAAAUAAAGAUCCAAAUACAUAUAUACAUUUAUUUGUGUUCCAUGUGAGCUGAGAGGCCUGCUGACGUCUAGUCCUAUAUGUUAAUUUCAAAAUUUCAGUUUACUAUACCUAUGUGCAUUUUAUUUUUUAUCAAUUAUUAUUAACCAAAUUCUAAUUUUCCUACUAUAAGCCAGCUAAUUAAAUAACCAUUAACAAAAUACUGUACACUUGAAAGUCUAGUUCUAAAUUAGCAUAUAUGUAGGAACAAUCCAGCCUACUCAUAUUGUGUUUAGCAGGCUAACUGCGUAUAUUUAAUGCAGUUAAUGCAAUCGACUCUAAUCGGGCAGUCUAUCUAAAAUACAAAUAAUUUGUAGUUUCUGUACAAGAAUCUGCUCCCAAAUCGUGAAAAAAAAGUAACCAGAACACGACUCUCAAAUCUAGCUCUAAAGAUAGUCGAGGUAUAUCUUACACAAUUUGGGAAUAAUGGGAAAUGAAUAAUUUAUUAUUAUUGAUGAUAAUGAAAUAGCUUGCGCUCUUUCGUACUGGCAAACAGACAGAAAACGGGUAUAUCUGCUGCAAUAAACUAUACGUAUAUACAAAAGUGUAAUCCCACCGACUUGUUCGCCAUUGAAAUUGACAAAACAAUUAACCAACAACACUCAAAAGAAUGGAAAUUGGCUUGAAAAUAUUUGACACUGAGUAGGUUGAACGGAAAAGAGCAAAUGGUAUCAGCCAAACACAGUGGUCCAGUUCUACAGAUAAUACUAAGCGGGUAUUUCCGUUCUUUAAGCCCAUGUUAAGUCAUUUAAAUAAUUGUGCCACAAACGAUUUGCAUACAAUGGUACAAUGCCGUGCAAAGUCUGGAAAAUUUAAAUGCAGUUCAUAACAGACACGAGAGAUGCGGCCGGAAAUUAAUAUACAAAAACAGAAGCUCAUUAUACGCUUACCUACACUCA
RNAcentral lists this unclassified non-coding RNA (1861 nucleotides) under Drosophila mojavensis. RNAcentral describes it as "GI26165". The record is from RNAcentral. Lineage: Eukaryota; Metazoa; Arthropoda; Insecta; Diptera; Drosophilidae.